RNAcentral lists this ribosomal RNA (429 nucleotides) under Bacillota bacterium. Its description in RNAcentral is "Firmicutes bacterium partial 16S ribosomal RNA". It matches the Rfam family "Bacterial small subunit ribosomal RNA", at positions 355 to 776 of the family's 1533-position model. Lineage: Bacteria; Bacillati; Bacillota. The record is from RNAcentral.
UAGGGAAUCUUCGGCAAUGGACGGAAGUCUGACCGAGCAACGACGCGUGAGUGAAGAAGGUUUUCGGAUCGAAAAGCUCUGUCGUUAGAGAAGAACGUUGGUAGGAGUGGAAAAUCUACCAAGUGACGGUAACUAACCAGAAAGGGACGGCUAACUACGUGCCAGCAGCCGCGGUAAUACGUAGGUCCCGGGCGUUGUCCGGAUUUAUUGGGCGUAAAGCGAGCGCAGGCGGUUCUUUAAGUCUGAAGUUAAAGGCAGUGGCUUAACCAUUGUACGCUUUGGAAACUGGUGGACUUGAGUGCAGAAGGGGUGAGUGGAAUUCCAUGUGUAGCAGUGAAGUGCGUAGAUAUAUGGAGGAACACCGGUGGCGAGAGCGGCUCUCUGGUCUGUAACUGACGCUGAGGCUCGAAAGCGUGGGGAGCAAACAGG